Non-coding RNA from Anneissia japonica, 73 nucleotides. NCBI's taxonomy places the organism in Eukaryota, Metazoa, Echinodermata, Crinoidea, Comatulida, Comatulidae. The record is from the annotation of a RefSeq genome assembly.
GCCCUCAUAGCUCAGUUGGUAGAAUAUCCGAGCGGUAAUCGGAAGGUUUUGGGUUCGAAUCCCGAUGGGGACA